This is a long non-coding RNA of Saccostrea cuccullata (small rock oyster), 130 nucleotides long. RefSeq lists it as uncharacterized. NCBI's taxonomy places the organism in Eukaryota, Metazoa, Mollusca, Bivalvia, Ostreida, Ostreidae. The transcript is spliced from 2 exons. The record is from RefSeq and is a predicted model, not a curated record.
AAUCGGUCCUACUAAAAUACGCCUGCCGACGCCUGCCAAGAUUGGUGCAUUCCAUAUAGUACAGAGGUCUUAGACGAAGCAGUCCAAGUUUUUUUGUCAAAUGUUUAAAUGAAUAAAUGAUUGAAUUGUU